UUUUUUGCAGAACCGUAACAACGGGUUGACGCGACAACCACCGCCUGCUCUACCGGCGCGACCUCACGGUUACCGGGGCAAUGGGGGAUUCCUGGCGCAGCGAGCGACGUGAUUGGCCGAGCCCGGCAAAGAGCUCUUAAAUGGGUCAAAGCAGUCAAGUGUCUCCACCAAGGAGGUGUAAAAUGUGUGUGCGCGUCUCCGAGUGUGUGACUGUGCAUCCAGGCAGACUGGGAACAGACUUCCUCAUCCGACUGCACAUGCAGCGAAAAGGAUCGGCCUGUGCGGUUAUAAAAGCGCCCACCCACUCCCUUCCUCUCCGACGCUUCCUGUCAGGCUCUGAUGUCCUUCGUUAUUUCAUCAAUUUUUUUGUUUUUCUGCUCCCUCCACCAAUCUCUCUCCCACUUGCAUGUUUGACAGUCACCCAUCUGUUUGUGCCGGGGCCGCGGAGGACAACACUGACCCCAAAUGGCCGUGAUACGAAAUGCUUUUCAGCGCUCUGAAAGCGCAUCAGAGGAAUGAUGCAACAUGCUGCCAUAUUAGUGUGAAAGGAUCGGCCUUGGCAGGUUUUAUUGCACACGUCCAUCCUCAUCAGGUGUUGGGAUGCAUUCACCCAGUGCAGUUGCCCGAUGCAGAUCUUAGCGGCCAGCAGGGGCAGCGAGGGGUCGUCUGGUCUCAUCCUGGCACAUUCUUUCAACACAGACACAGCGGCGACCCACUGUGAAACACACACACCAGAACGAAUGACAAACUACCUCCACACAGUGGAUACACAAACAGAGAGGAAACUGACGUCUCUGGAAGACCAGAUGCCCAAACUGGACUGAUUAUUACAAAUAUUCAAAGAGUUCAAGAACUUUCCAAGACGGGAAGAAGCCAGAGGCGCUGAGCAGCCUUGGGCUCGACGCCAAGCCAAAUCAAAUAAGCAGACAGCUGCCAACCAUCAGACAUCAUCCAUGUCUGACUUGAUUCCCACAGCAGCUAGCUUCAUAUCCCAUAGAGAGGCCUGAGAAAGAGCCAACGAGCAACCAGGAAGUGACGGGACUUGCGUGCAGCGGCUUCCCAGCCUCCAGGUGCGACCCGCGGUCACUCACCGUCCUCAUGGAUCCGC
Xiphophorus couchianus (Monterrey platyfish) is the source of this 1108-nucleotide long non-coding RNA. RefSeq lists it as uncharacterized. Lineage: Eukaryota; Metazoa; Chordata; Actinopteri; Cyprinodontiformes; Poeciliidae. The transcript has 4 exons. The record is from RefSeq and is a predicted model, not a curated record.